Immersiella caudata is the source of this 93-nucleotide non-coding RNA. NCBI's taxonomy places the organism in Eukaryota, Fungi, Ascomycota, Sordariomycetes, Sordariales, Lasiosphaeriaceae. The record is from the annotation of a GenBank genome assembly.
GUCACUUUGGUGGAGUGGUUAACACGCAGCCCUGCUAUCUCAGCAACGAAGGCUGUUCCUUCGGGAGAGUAGGUUCGAAUCCUGCAGGUGACG